Molecule: ribosomal RNA, 468 nt
Filed under: uncultured bacterium
Lineage: Bacteria
Description: partial 16S ribosomal RNA
Rfam family: Bacterial small subunit ribosomal RNA
Source: RNAcentral
GACGAACGCUGGCGGCGUGCUUAACACAUGCAAGUCGAACGGAAAGGCCCUGCUUUUGUGGGGUGCUCGAGUGGCGAACGGGUGAGUAACACAUGAGUAACCUGCCCUUGACUUUGGGAUAACUUCAGGAAACUGGGGCUAAUACCGGAUAGGAGCUCCUGCUGCAUGGUGGGGGUUGGAAAGUUUCGGCGGUUGGGGAUGGACUCGCGGCUUAUCAGCUUGUUGGUGGGGUAGUGGCUUACCAAGGCUUUGACGGGUAGCCGGCCUGAGAGGGUGACCGGCCACAUUGGGACUGAGAUACGGCCCAGACUCCUACGGGAGGCAGCAGUGGGGAAUAUUGCACAAUGGGCGGAAGCCUGAUGCAGCAACGCCGCGUGCGGGAUGACGGCCUUCGGGUUGUAAACCGCUUUCGCCUGUGACGAAGCAUGAGUGACGGUAAUGGGUAAAGAAGCACCGGCUAACUACGUG